CUUCGACACAGUUUUUCCGUAGUGCCAGAAAAAUUUGUCAAAAUCCGAUUCUUCCUCUUUUAACCGCCUCUACAACCCUUAUCCGACCCCUCUAGACUAUAUCCACCCUUUGUAUAGCCUAAUGUCAUCAAAAGACUAGAUAGGGAUGGAUAUUUACCUUUUUCUUUUUGGAAAUCGAGGUCCUUGCGUAGAGGGGAAGGAGAUCUACGUUUUUCCCUUCAGCUGGAAGUGCAACCGGAAUCUCUUUCCUCCUCGAAUCCCCUUCCUCUUUUUCUUUCUUCUUCUUCUUCUUCUCUUUUUCUUUCUUUCUUUCCUCUGUUUCACGCCUGAGAACCCCCUCCCUCUUUCUCUCGGUUUCAUUCCAGCUCAAACCCUCCAAUUAAAUCACAUCAAGAUACUAUUCACCCUUUUUUUAAUAUUAUUAAAUUCCCAUUUUGC
RNAcentral lists this long non-coding RNA (438 nucleotides) under Phoenix dactylifera (date palm). RNAcentral's name for it is "long non-coding RNA (PDAC_LNC018625)". The record is from RNAcentral. Lineage: Eukaryota; Viridiplantae; Streptophyta; Magnoliopsida; Arecales; Arecaceae.